CUGUCUACUUGGAUACCUGUGGUAAUUCUAGAGCUAAUACAUGCUAAAAACCUCGACUUCGGAAGGGGUGUAUUUAUUAAAUAAAAAACCAAUGCCCUCCGGGGCUCCUGGGUGAUUCAUAAUAACUCAACGAAUCGCAUGGCCUUGCGCCGGCGAUGGUUCAUUCAAAUUUCUGCCCUAUCAACUUUCGAUGGUAGGAUAGUGGCCUACCAUGGUUUCUACGGGUAACGGGGAAUUAGGGUUCUAUUCCGGAGAGGGAGCCUGAGAAACGGCUACCACAUCCAAGGAAGGCAGCAGGCGCGCAAAUUACCCAAUCCCGACACGGGGAGGUAGUGACAAUAAAUACUGAUACAGGGCUCUUUCGGGUCUUGUAAUUGGAAUGAGUACAAUUUAAAUCCCUUAACGAGGAACAAUUGGAGGGCAAGUCUGGUGCCAGCAGCCGCGGUAAUACCAGCUCCAAUAGCGUAUAUUAAAGUUGUUGCAGUUAAAAAGCUCGUAGUUGAAACUUGGGCCUGGCUGGCCGGUCCGCCUCACCGCGUGCACUGGUCCGGCCGGGCCUUUCCUUCUGGGGAGCCGCAUGCCCUUCAGUGGGUGUGUCGGGGAACCAGGACUUUUACUUUGAAAAAAUUAGAGUGUUCAAAGCAGGCCUAUGCUCGGAUACAUUAGCAUGGAAUAAUGGAAUA
Molecule: ribosomal RNA, 683 nt
Filed under: Erinacellus dendroides
Lineage: Eukaryota; Fungi; Ascomycota; Lecanoromycetes; Peltigerales
Description: SSU rRNA
Rfam family: Eukaryotic small subunit ribosomal RNA
Source: RNAcentral